CCGACUCCUACGGGAGGCAGCAGUAGGGAAUCUUCGGCAAUGGACGAAAGUCUGACCGAGCAACGCCGCGUGAGUGAAGAAGGUUUUCGGAUCGUAAAACUCUGUUGGUAGAGAAGAACGUUGGUGAGAGUGGAAAGCUCAUCAAGUGACGGUAACUACCCAGAAAGGGACGGCUAACUACGUGCCACCAGCCGCGGUAAUACGUAGGUCCCGAGCGUUGUCCGGAUUUAUUGGGCGUAAAGCGAGCGCAGGUGGUUUAUUAAGUCUGGUGUAAAAGGCAGUGGCUCACCCAUUGUAUGCAUUGGAAACUGGUAGACUUGGGUGCAGGAAAGGAGAGUGGAAUUCCAUGUGUAGCGGUGA
RNAcentral lists this ribosomal RNA (360 nucleotides) under uncultured bacterium. Its description in RNAcentral is "bacterial SSU rRNA". It matches the Rfam family "Bacterial small subunit ribosomal RNA", at positions 332 to 684 of the family's 1533-position model. The record is from RNAcentral.